CCAAGAACAGGGAUCUUAGAAUCAAGUUCCUAUUAAAGUGGCUGGUUCUCAAAUUGUGAUCCCAAACCUCCUUGCAGGAUUACGAACAUUCUCACUCACACACACACAUGCAAGCCUCAGGUCGUGUCCUCGUUCAGACCUGUCUCCCCGUGAAUCCAUCGACCACUUGAAACAGGAUCUAGAUUGGGACUAAUCACCGAGUGUAUUUACUUGCACAAUAAUAAUCUGAUCAUUAUCUGAUUUCAGCACGUUGUUCAAACAGAUCUGCAUCACAAAAGCAGCUCAAAUUGGACCAGCAGUAUUCAUGCUACGUUUGAGGUGACGUUGCAACCUGUAAUUCCACAUCUACAACCGGUAACAGCCACCACAAACACCCCAACUACCAGCUUGGGGUGGUUACUCAACUACCAGCUCCUUCGCUGUUUACCGAGUGACAUCGAAUCAGGAAGGCCACAGACACUGCAAACAGUGUAAAAGUUUCCUUUCUCUACUUUAUAAUUAGUUUACAGCAGUGCUGGCGGAUACAGUACUUGGUUCAAUCUGUAACACUGUCCAUAUUAAUCACUGCUUUGAGAAUUUUGUCACUAAUCCUAGCUAAGUAACUUGUUGCUAACAUUACCCAAUACUGUCCACUGGCUAGCUUGUUGCUAAAGCUAAUCACCGUUGUCUGAAGUUGUUGCUGUGCUGCAUGUUACUUUAUAGUUAUAGUAGAACAGAACUAAUACACCCUCAGGCCUGAAUCUGUAAAAGUGCACUCAAAUGAGAUUUUUAUCAGCUUUACGUUCUCUGACAGAGCAAACAAGACACACUUUCAUGGAGGACAUCUCAUCUCAUUAUCUCUAGCCGCUUUAUCCUGUUCUACAGGGUCGCAGGCAAGCUGGAGCCUAUCCCAGCUGACUACGGGCGAAAGGCG
Neoarius graeffei (lesser salmon catfish) is the source of this 913-nucleotide long non-coding RNA. RefSeq lists it as uncharacterized. Lineage: Eukaryota; Metazoa; Chordata; Actinopteri; Siluriformes; Ariidae. The transcript has 3 exons. The record is from RefSeq and is a predicted model, not a curated record.